This is a long non-coding RNA of Carassius auratus (goldfish), 2873 nucleotides long. RefSeq lists it as uncharacterized. NCBI's taxonomy places the organism in Eukaryota, Metazoa, Chordata, Actinopteri, Cypriniformes, Cyprinidae. The record is from RefSeq and is a predicted model, not a curated record. The transcript is spliced from 3 exons.
UCCAGUCUUCGGUGACACAUGAUGCUUCAGAAAUCUUUCUAGUAUGCCUUAAUCAAAAACAUUAUAUUAUUAUCAAAUUACAUUUGUGCUGUCUAUUAUUUCUGUGGAAACGGUGAUAAAAGAAAGCUCAAAUGAUCAGCAUUUAUUUGAUAUAUAUCACACACACACAUAUAUAUAUAUAUAUAAUUUUAUUUAUAGUGCUCCUUCCUUCCUCAAACUCAAAGCGCUACCACAUUUGCACAAAUGAGAUAAAUCUACAAAGUAAAAAAUACAUUAUAUCAAAAAAUACAUUUUACUAUCACUUUUGAUCAGUUUAAGGCAUCCUUUGUGGAUUCAAAAAAAAAAAUAUUUCUUUCUUUUAAAAAAAAAAUUUAGAAAAUGGCUCAUCUUUUCUCCAUACUGUCUCUGAAGAUCAGAUUCAGGUCCCUGGUUUGAUUAAUUUGAUUGAUUCAUUCUUAGUGAUUCUCCCUGCUGUCUGCUUCUUUUAUUAACUUGCAAAGCAUCAAGUUUUGCUCGAGUGCCACAUUUACCACCAUAACAAGACUGGCUUUCUAAAUGUUGGGCCAGAAACACUUGCACCAAAGGUCGUGAAGGUCGCUGUGGGUCUUCUCCAGUUCAGUUUAAGUGCAGGGCUUUGGGCCAUGUGCAGGUCAGGGUGACUGAUAAGUAUCUGUUUGAAGACGUUCACCUUGUUUCCCAGGUAUGUUAGCAGGCCACCACCAGGCUGUAUUUCAUCAUGCUCUUUGAUCGCUGGCGCCACCUGAGGGUACAGAGAUCAAACAACAGAUAAGAGAUAGACACUGCACACAGCCCAAACACACCAGACUAUCAUACAUGCUUCAAAACAAACAUGUGGUAGGAGCAGGGAUAAUGACAGAUUGGCCAGUUGGAGCACUAGUACACCUCCAUUGUAUAUUUGAUGAUCUUUGGGCCAUAAAACUAUAAAUACAAAAAAGCAACAGGCUGUCAAAUGGCCUUAAAAUUGUGUGUGUGUGUGUGUGUGUGUGUGUGUGUGUGUGUGUGUGUGUGUGUGUGUGUGCAUUAAUCACAUUUAACAUAUUUAUUGUAGCCAAACCAAAGCCAAAGAGUAAGCAGCAUAAGGUCUGUCCCACGUCGCAGCAUAUCCUCGCCAAAACGUCUCUUACUGACAUGUCAAAUUACCUUUAUGUGGCAUUUAGGGGAGAAUGUAUCUUCAUUCAACGCCAGAAAAUAAGCGACUUCUCUGAAUUGAUUGUUGAAAUGAAAAAUAGUGGCGAUGCUUUCAUUUUACUUUACUUUCAUUUUCUUUCUUCAAAAUAUUUAUUUUUGCACAGAAUUAUACCAUUACAAUGAUAUACAAAAUUAUAUAGAAUUAAUUGAACAAAUUGUAUUUACUUUUAUUUAUAUAAAAGUGAAUUCUUACCUCAACAUGUGUCAUAUUUUACUUAAAGUUGAAAGGAAAAUCAAACACAAAUGACAUUUUAUUUAUUAAUGUAGGUAGGUAGGUAAAAUCUGACCAUGGCAUGUGCUUAACAGGAUAACUCAUCAUUUUAACUGAUAAUUUACAUAAAUAUGCAUAUGUAGCUACAAGCCAGGAUGAAAGGAAUCAAAUCUAAAUGAGAUAAUCCAUCAAAACCAAUCCAAAACAAGAAAUAGUUGGCACAGUUCAACACAGAGAGGUAACAGAAGGUUUUUAAGUUUUUAACUUCUUACAAAAUAAAUCCCAAAUCCUGAACUUUGUUUUUCUGCCGACUGCUCCACAGACAUUGAUUGUUUACUAAACACUUCCGUUCCCAGACUAAACCACUAAAUCAAACCGCUUUGUUGUCAGAGAUCUGAAGAUUUGAGUUUGUUUUAUUCCAGUGAUUGAUGUGCCGAAGACAAAUCUGUGUGGGAGUAGUUUCUGACGCUGCAGUGAACCACACUGCCCUCUGUUGACCGUUGGUUAAUACUAUGGAGAAAGAAAGUUUAUGGAAAGCCAUAAUGAUACACACUCAGCCUCAUUAUCUGCCUCCAUCCCAAACAACUGAUAUGAGUCACCAGUCGCCUAACGGAGGAACCAUCUGAUCACUUCUAACCUCCUCACACACAGGUUUUCUGCUUAAACUUUCUGCAUUCACUCUGCUACUGAGACCAAGAAUCCAUGGAAGAAAAUAAAAGAGAAAGAAACAAUUGUUAGAAUGUUAAUGUCAGACUUCAGCGUGUAAUUGCCUUGGCAUUUAAAUAGGAAGGGAUCCUCUGGAAUUACUGAAAUGUUCCUGGUGCCAUUCUCUAGGAACACAGCAACUUUUAAAAUGAAAUAAUGGCACCAAGAAGACCACCUAAACAAGAGCAAUUCAAGCAACAAUUAAAUUCAAGUUUAUCUGUAUAGCACUUUAUACGAUACAAAUUGUUGAAAAGCAACUUUACAGAAAAUUACGUUUUUACAAUAUUUGUAGUAUUAUCAACAGUUAACAUAUAUUUGUAGAUGAGUGAUAUAAUUAAAGAUUAAUUAUAUUCUAGUCUUUUUAGACAAACGUGGAAACUGUGGGAGUCUGCACUGUGGCUGUUCCAGAACAGAACAAGACUUGCUUGACAAAUGUUUGACACUUUUGAAAAACGCCUUUGGCCAAUGUGAUUUGUUUUAACUUGCUAAGCAUCUAUACAAAUUAAUUUACCAUUGUCAUUUUGCUUAUGAAAAGGACAUAUAACAAGGACUAUAUUCAGUUACUACAGAGCACAACAUAAUUUUCCUUCCACAAAGGAAACUUACAAACAUCUGUUGGGUGUACAAUAUAACCAAAGCCACAUGUGCAAGGAAAACAAGGCUUCCUUUUUACUAGAUGCUAAGCAGGACAUACAGGAAGACAAAAAUCAAUUGGCUUAAAUGCAUCUAUUGAUUUUUCAGUGCAGUG